UUAUAUUUUGUUUAUUAAUUAAUUUUUUUUUUAUUAUAAAUUAUUAAAAGUAAUUAUUUUAUGGUUUGUUUAAGUAUUUUAUAAAGAAAAAAUAAUUUUAAUGAUAGUUAAAUAGUAUUGUGAAAGAAAACUGAAAUAAUUUGAAAAAUUAAUAUUUUAAAAGAAAAUUUAAAUUAUUGUACCUUGUGUAUCAGGGUUUAUUAAAUAAAAAUUAUUUAUUAUAAUUUUCUCGAUUUUAAAAGAGUUAAUAUAUUAUAAAAGUUAAUGUGAUAAAAUUAUUUUAUAUAAUAUAUUGGAAAUGAAAUGUUAUUCGUUUUUAAAGGUAUCUAGUUCUUUAAGAAAUAAAUUUAAUUUAGAAAUUUUAUAUUAUUUAAUUAAAUAUAUUAAUUAAAUAAUUGUUUUAUUUUAAUAUUUUGUGGGAUAAGCUGUGAAAUAAAUUAUUAAAAAUUAUUAAAUAAUUUAAUAAAUAUAAGCUUAGAAAUAGUUAUUAUUAAUGAAAUUGUUAUAAUUUAUUUUAUAAUAUUGAUUAUUUAUUGGAUUUUAAUUAUGUAUUAAAGUAUUUAUUUUAAUUAUAAAAAUAAAAAAAUAAUGAUGAAAUUAGUAUAUUAUAUUGUAUAAAUAUUAUUAAUUGAUAAGUUUUUAUAAAGAACUCGGCAAAAAUAAUGUUCGCCUGUUUAACAAAAACAUGUCUUUUUGAAUUUUUUUAAAAGUCUAGCCUGCCCACUGAAUAAUUUAAAUGGCCGCAGUAUACUAACUGUGCAAAGGUAGCAUAAUCAUUAGUCUUUUAAUUGAAGGCUGGUAUGAAUGGUUGGACGAGAUAUUAACUGUUUCAUAAAAAUUUAUAAUAGAAUUUUAUUUUUUAGUCAAAAAGCUAAAAUGAAAUUAAAAGACGAGAAGACCCUAUAAAUCUUUAUACAUAUGAAUUAUUAGAAUUUUAUAGAUUUUUUUUAUUAUAAUAGUUAAUUGUAUUUUAUUGGGGUGAUAUUAAAAUUUAAUAAACUUUUAAUUAUUUAAAUCAUUAAUUUAUGAAUAAUUGAUCCGUUAAUAACGAUUAAAAAAAUAAGUUACUUUAGGGAUAACAGCGUAAUUUUUUUGGAGAGUUCAUAUCGAUAAAAAAGAUUGCGACCUCGAUGUUGGAUUAAGAUAUAAUUUUAGGUGUAGCCGCUUAAAUUUUAAGUCUGUUCGACUUUUAAAUUCUUACAUGAUCUGAGUUCAAACCGGCGUAAGCCAGGUUGGUUUCUAUCUUUAAAAAAUUAAAAUAUUUCAGUACGAAAGGACCUAAUAUUUAAUAAAUAAUUAUUUUUAUAUUGAAUAUAAAUAAUUUAU
RNAcentral lists this ribosomal RNA (1326 nucleotides) under Sarcophaga caerulescens. Its description in RNAcentral is "16S ribosomal RNA". The stretch from base 1075 to 1234 matches the Rfam family "Archaeal large subunit ribosomal RNA", at positions 2544 to 2703 of the family's 2987-position model. The record is from RNAcentral. Lineage: Eukaryota; Metazoa; Arthropoda; Insecta; Diptera; Sarcophagidae.